GACAGGCCUUGUGCCGGCGAUGGCUCAUUCAAAUUUCUUCCCUAUCAACUUUCGAUGUUUGGGUCUUGUCCAAACAUGGUGGCAACGGGUAACGGAGGGUUAGGGCUCGACCCCGGAGAAGGAGCCUGAGAAACGGCUACUACAUCCAAGGAAGGCAGCAGGCGCGCAAAUUACCCAAUCCCGACACGGGGAGG
This 194-nucleotide ribosomal RNA is filed under the name cf. Trichoderma sp. 265/HP2. RNAcentral's name for it is "partial 18S ribosomal RNA". It matches the Rfam family "Eukaryotic small subunit ribosomal RNA", at positions 271 to 464 of the family's 1831-position model. Lineage: Eukaryota; Fungi; Ascomycota; Sordariomycetes; Hypocreales; Hypocreaceae. The record is from RNAcentral.